UGGCCAUGUUGGUUAACAGAUCCUCAUUUGCUGGACGGCUGGCGAUGAUCUUUAUCGAUUGUCGUCAGUUGCCAGAACGUUUACUUUGAGAAAAUUAGAGUGCUAAAAGCAGGCUCACGCCUAUAUAUAUUGCAUGGAAUAAUGAGAUAAGAUCUCGAUUUUAUUUCGUUGGUUUUAGAAAUUGAGAUAAUGAUUAAUAGGAUCAGAGGGGGGCGUACGUACUGUGGUGUGAGAGGUGAAAUUCUUGGAUCGCCACAGGACGAACAGCAGCGAAGGCGUUCGCCAAGAAUGUUUUCAUUAAUCAAGAACGAAAGUUUGAGGUUCGAAGACGAUUAGAUACCGUCCUAGUUCAAACCAUAAACGUUGCCAACUGUCUUUUAGAUGCGGUUAUUUAUAUGACUCAUCUGGCGGAUCUCGAGAAAUCUAAGUUUUUAGGUUCCGGGGGAAGUAUGGUUGCAAAGCUGAAACUUAAAAGAAUUGACGGAAGGACACACAAGAAGUGGAGCCUGUGGCCUAAUUUGACUCAACACGGGAAACCUUACUCGGCCAGGACACUUUUAGGAUUGACAGAUUGAGAGCUCUUUCUUGAUUAGGUGGGUGGUGGUGCAUGGUCGUUCGUAGUUCGUGGAGCGAUUUGUCUGAUUAAUUUCGAUAACGAACGAGACUCCGGCUUACUAAAUAGUCUAAAGUUCGAAGGGACUUUUCAAGACUUCUUAGCAGGAUAAGUGG
RNAcentral lists this ribosomal RNA (729 nucleotides) under uncultured eukaryote. RNAcentral describes it as "SSU rRNA". It matches the Rfam family "Eukaryotic small subunit ribosomal RNA", at positions 673 to 1426 of the family's 1831-position model. The record is from RNAcentral.